This 17478-nucleotide long non-coding RNA is filed under the name Marmota monax (woodchuck). Lineage: Eukaryota; Metazoa; Chordata; Mammalia; Rodentia; Sciuridae. The record is from RNAcentral.
AUUGAACCUGGACCUUGCACAUGUGAGCAAGCACUCUACCACCAAGCUACACUCCAGUCCAGACGGUUACGUAUUUUCAAGUAAGACCUCAUUUUUGAACAUACAGUGCCACCACUGGGAUGUGUUGUCUUUUUGUCAUAAUGAGAAUCCACGAUGACCUUUGCCAGUCUCUUCUGCAUCCUAUGCUUUAGUGUUUUAUUUAUCCAUAAAAAGUUUAUAAUAUAGACAAACCAGAAUAUUUGGGGGGUAGAACAAUAUAACAAGAAUCUAUGGAUUUUUUAAAAGUAUUUGGAAAUUUUUGAGUACAAUGUGUUUCUCAAAACUUCCUACCUGUUAUGUCUUUAGAAAGUGAGAAUUUUCAGAAGUGAAUAAUUUUCAACAAGAGGGCCCUACUGUGUGCUAUUCCAGUUAUAUGAUCAUGUAUCCAAACUGAAAGAAAGUACAUUCAGUUCAGUAGUUUCAAGGGAGUUUUGUCUUUUCUUGCUUUUGCUACUGUUCUUCAGUAUGACCAGCACAGAGGGAGAGGGUACCCAUCCAGACUUGUGCCUGCCACACUUCGUUAAAACCAGGGCCAUUGACAUCCCUGUCCUUUCCUUCUAGUGUUUCUUAUAUUUUCUCCAAAAGUAUAUUCAAGCAUCCAAAUAUUUUUUUCAACAUUCUUUCCUAAUGGUCUUCCAUUUUAUGUUUUCUAAUCUUAAUUUCAAAAAUAUUUCUGAUGACCAGGAAAAAAGUCACAUAACAGCUUAGUAUUUUAUUUUAGAACUCAUAGCAUCUUACUACAUUAGCAUAUAUGAUGGUUAAUUCUAUGUGUCAGUCUGUCUGGGUUAAGGGGUAUGCAGGGGGCUGGUGAAGCAUGAUUUCUGGGUGUCUGUGCAGGUGUUUCUGGAGGAGAUCAGCAAUUGAAUUAGCGGACUGAGUGAGGAAGACAUGCCCUCACCAGUGUGGGUAGCCUGGUCCCAUCCAUUGAGGUCCUGGACAGAACAAAACAGAGGAGAAAAAAUGAAUUUUCUCUCUUAUCCAGAGCGGGGACUCCCAUUAUUUCACAUGCUGGAGCUUCAGGUUCUUGAGUCUUUGGAUCUGAGGAUUUAAACCAGCAGUUCCCCAGCUUCUCAGGUCCUUGGACUCAAAUGAACUGUCCCACAGGUUUCUGUGGUUCUUCAGGUUCCAGAGAGCACAUUGUGAGACUAACUCCUUCACAAUCAAGUGAGACCAUUCUUGUAAUAAAUCUCUUGUAGACUUUUAUCUACACCUGUGUCUGUAUCUUAUUGGUCUGUUCCUCUGGAUAACACUAACUAUUAUAAAGCAUACAUUAACGGAAGUUAAUGUUGUGUACUGGUGAAAUUUUCAUAACAAAAAUUACUAAAACAUAACUAGUGCAUCAUUAUGUAAGCUCUAGAAAAUGUCUUGGGAACACUUCAUGAUUAAUCCCACAAUGAAAGCACUGUAGAUUUAAAUUGAAAGCUUAAUAAUACCAUUACAGUAAUAUCAAAUGGCAUAAACUGUAAAAUGGAAAGUAAAUUUGGCAGGGCUUUAAUACCAAAGGAGAUUUUUAAAGUUUUAGUAUACUCAAGUCAGUUAUCAGCCAACUUCUUGUUUGGAAGCACAGAAAAAUAAUGCACAAUAAAAAUAAUGUUAUGGUAUAGCAGCAGGGUCCUUUGAUAACAAGUCUAAUCAUCUGUAAGUCAAAGCAGAAUGGUAUGAUAAAACACUGUCAGAACAAGGCACUUUACUUUUACCUGUCACAAAACAAUAAUUUUGUUAAGAUAUCUCAUUGCUGUCUGCUUGAAAAUUACUGCAAUAAAAUAUACUGGUUGCCCAACUUUGGAGACAACAAAAAACAUAUUUCAAAAUUGCACAGAGGUCUGUGAUGGGAGCUUGUCAUGCGCCCGCCACCCCCUUUGAAAUGGCACCCUUGUGCAGAGCACUACUGAGCAACUUUAUUUGAUGGCCUUGGUACUUGGGUUGUGUUCUCAUCAGAGAGGAGCUGGUUUUUCUAGAUUUCUCUUCACGAUUCAGUCCAGUAGGACAUUUAAAUGAAAGUAAUGAAAUGUUAUGCAAGUGAAGAUUAUUUUGUUAAUUCCUGUGAUUCCCUUUACAAAUAUAUUCUGAUUGUCAACAACAUUUCUGGAGACUUACUGGCUUGUGAUUAAUGUGGCAUCAGGAAUGGAUCCAUUAGUGAUGUGAACAUGGCAGCAGGAAAACCAAGCUUCCUUUCCAUUAAAAAAAAAAAAUAUGACUGUGAGGAAAACCUUUCAUUGAACCAAUGAAAUCUGAAUCUGUCAUCUUAUUUCUUAAUCUUGAAACCAUAGUGACAAAGGGAGAAAGCCAUGCAGAGGGAGUCACAGGCUCCAAUCAGAGCUCAGCUUUGGGUUUGCAUCAGGUCUUCCUGCCAGGCAUCCCCAAAGGCUUUCCCAAAGCUGGUCCAGACCUGCUCUGAUCUCUGAUCUCCAGUCCUGUUCUUAAAUCCCAGGCCCAGGCUGACUGAGCAGAGGCUAAUGAGGGAAGGUAAGCUGAGCUUCCUGCUUCCAUAAUUGUUCACUGGGUUCGUUCUUCUGGCUUUAUUGUCUUUGUUUUUUUGUUUUUUUUUUUUUUCCUUACAUAUCACCUAGGAAAAUGCAGCUGUUCAAAAAAGCAAGCUUUGUCCCUUCCUGCUGGGGUCCCUGCAGUAUGCCUAGAUGUGGUUAUCCUUCUCUUACUUAUGAGUCUCCACCCACAGAGCCAGAAAAACCUGGACUGGCCCUCCCAGAGCUUCCACAUAAGAGGAAAAAGCAACACUAACUACCUGUUUUACCGUGGUUAUACCUCAAAAAGGCCCACAUUCCCUAUAGAAAAGGCCCCAAAUUUCACAAAAGUCCCAUCAUCACCUAAACAUGGCCUCUUUGGCAAGGAAGGCAUACUGCCUAAAGCCACUGCAGCCUGCAGGCGGAGGUUUCUGCAGGCCAGCGUGGUCUCCACGUGCUAUUUGUCCACAUACUCUGCUCCGUCGUGUACGAGGCACCUUUGCUCUCCUGCCAGGCCACUUAGCAAGUGCCUUCUAAACUAGCCAGCCCAACUCUCUGUGUCCUGCUCAGUAGCCAGGGGUUCUCUGACCCUCUAGCCCACCAUAAGCAACUCCCAUCUAGGUUUUUCAGAGAUGCUCAUCAUUUACUGAGACCCAUAGGAGCUCAGUUAUUUUCUCUCCUCCCCUCUUUCUUCCCUGUCAUUCUUCAGCAUCACCCCCUUCACGUGGUCAGCAGGCUUAGGGCUCCUCCAGGGAUGUAAAGAUACAUCUGCUCCAAUUUUUUUUUCCAGGGGGUAUGGGCACCAUAAUUCCUUUCUUUAGAUCCCUUCUGUCACUGGCUGAGUUGUGUCCCUCUAAAUUCAAAUGUCUAGGUUCUAAUUCCCAGUACCUCAGAGAUGACUGUAUUUGAAGAAAUUAACUUUACACAGUUUAUUAAAUUAAAGUGAAGUCAUUAGGAUGGGCCUUUGUCCAAUAUGAUUGGUGUUUUUGGGAGAAGAGGAUAUCUGGACACAGACAUAGAGAUGAAAUAUCACGGGAACAUGAAAACAGCCACAUGGAGGCAAGCAGUGAGGCCUCAGAACAAAUAAACUUUCCAGUACCUUGAACUUGGACUUCCAGCCUCCAGAACCAUGAGAAAACAAAGUUGCAUUGUUUAAGCUACCCAGUCUUUUUUUUUUUUUUUUUUUUUUUGCAGCCCUGACAAAGUAAUACACUUUCAGCACUGGGGUUAACCUUGCUCUGAGGUCAGAGGUCACUGGUGAAAAGAGACAGUGAUAUAUGAUAAGGAAAUACAGCAAAAUCUUAACUAUAGACUCUGGGUGCCUGGAUGUGUCUUUCAGGGUCCAGUCAGAGGCAGGAACGACGUAGUGAUCUGAGCCAGGAAAGUUUAACAUGAAGAAUGAUUACCAGUUACAAGGGCUUAAGCACUGAGAGGGCUCUGAAGAACAGCAGUCACAGGGGGCAGCCUUUACUACAGAUGCACCCAGAGAAAAAACAAACGUGGAAGGGGUGGACAGGGUGUGGUGGGACCCUCUGAAUGGUGAAGAAGUUUGCCAAAGUGCAGCCAGCCCGUGCUGAUAAGCAGAGAGCUGUGCUCUGAGGCACCAGGAACUCAGGGAGAAGCUGCCCACAGGUGUGCUCCUGAAACUGGCUAGGUGAACACUCCAGGGUCCCUCAUGCUGCUGGCCAACAUGAGCCUAAAUAGCAAAUCCUGGGGUGUCUCCCAGAAACAGCUAGAGAAGCCCCUUCCUCCUCCAGUGUACCUCUAUUGAAAAAGCUUGGUAAGCACCAAGCCAUCUGGAGAGGAGACAUAUAGGGCACAGCUCCAGUGUCACCAAGUACAGCAAGAAGAGUAGAUUUGGAGCUGAGAGACAACACACAGAUAGCUGGCACAGAGUGUUCGUUCAGGGGACACAUGCCUGACAGGGCUCAGGUAGAUACUUCUUAAAUUUUUCUGUAGAGGAGAAAAGAAGAAAAGUUCAGGGAUUUAUUGGAAGAUGAUCCACUAGUUGUUUCAGGAUAGAUAGUGCCAGCUUUACAUCAAACCACCCUGAGCAUUCCCUGGGUUUCCCAGGAACGCAUGACCUUUCUCCUCAGUGUGUUUGAGGGGAACUUGCUGCAUCAUUAGCAAAGAUUUCCCAAGUAUUCCCAAAGAUUUCCCAAGUAUUUCCCAAGUAUUCCCCUGCCUUUUGAGGCCCCUAGAAAGGGUGAGGUCUACUGGGAGUGAGGGGGGUGAAGAGGGCAUAAGCUGUAGAUGGGAUGAGAUAGUCUGAUUCCACUUCUUUUGCACCUGAGGCAAAAGAGGGAGCUGUCCCAAGCCCUGUGCUCAUGACUGAGGGACUCUUGUUGUCACUGGAGUCGAAAGAGGCAUGAACAGACUCAGAGACUCCCAAGAUGGCAGGGCUGAAAGAUCCCACAGAACCAAGUGCCUUCCUUCACCCAGGCCCAGAGAAGACCAGGACUAGAUAAGAGGGGAACCUGUUCUGAAGAUAUCCUUGGAGUUUCUCAGAACCAGUUCAAGGUUUUGGCAAUAAGUCAAAUGGUGUUAUGAAGAACUUUUAAAAAGUGGAUACUUUUGAAAUCAUCUUUUACUUUUCUCUUUCUGAGCAAAACUAGUCCACCUCCAGUUCUUCUGGUCUACUGCAUCUGGUUCAUCACAUUCUGAUUUUAGGUCCCUGCUGCCGCUGCCGCCGCCUCCUCCUCCUCCUCCUCCUCCUCCUCCUCCUCCUUCUUUUAGAAUAUUUGUUUUUUAGUUGUAGAUGGGCACAAUACCUUUAUUUUAUUUAUUUAUUUUUAUGUGGUGCUAAGAUCCAACCCAGUGCCUCGUGGUGAGCACUUUACUGCUGAGCCACAACCUCAGUCCCCCUGGCUUUUUCCCCCCACUUUUAUUUUAUUGGUGUACUGUAGUUGUACAUAACAGUGGAAUUUGUUGUUACAUCAUCAUACCUGCACAUAAUAUAACUAUAUAAUUGACCAAUAGCAUUCCCCAGUAUUUCCCCUUUCUCUCCCCUGGUCCUUUCCUCUACUCUCCUGAUCUCCCUUUGCUUUACAUGAGAUCCCCCUGCAACACCUUUCCAUUUGUCCUCUCUAGUUUUCACAUAGCCUUGACCUUCUGAGUUUAGCUUACUUUGCUUAAUAUAAUGUUCUCAAAUUCCAUCAAUUUUCUGCAAAUGACAUAGUUUCAUUCUUUUUUAUGACUGAAUAAGCUUCAUUGUGUAUAUAUAUAUACAUUUUCUUUAUCCAUUCAUCCAUUGAUGGACACUAAAUGUGUUUCCACAGUUUGGCUAUUGUGAAUUGUGCUAUUAUAAACAUGGAUACGCAUAUGUCACCAUGGUAUAAUGACUUUAAUCCUUUAUGAUAAAUAGGAAGAAAUGGGGUAGCUGAGUCACACCACAAUAAAAUAAAUGGUGGUUUCAUUCCUAGUCUUUUGAGGGACCUCCAUACUGAUUUCCACAGUGAUUGUACUGAUUCACAGUUCCAACAACAGUGGUGUCUCUAGCUUCUUAAGGUCAGGACACAGCACAAUUGUAUCAGCCCAGAGCUGCAAAGUUCUUACUCUAUUGCCUUGAGUUAGACUUCUCCUCCCACUCUGGUCUUGGGUCCUUUGCCUUGACCAUUGUGGGACUUCAGAGUAUUCUGUUCAUGGAUAUAACCAAGAGCAGGAGUCUCCCUACUAAAGUCAACUCUUUGUGUCUAAUACUACCACUGACUACUGGGCUGAGUAGUGGAUUUUGACCCCUCGUCCUCCUUCUAAGCCAGUUAUCAAUGCACCUAGUCACCCUACUGCAUGGCUACCUUGCCCUUCUCAGAGUUCAGGGUCAGGAGCCCAUCAUCUAGGAGCUCAGCCAAGUGGGUUAAGGUAAUUUGUUCCCCUCUUGAAUUAGGGGAUACCCAAGACAUGGGAUGGUGAUGAUGAGCACACACUCUCAGGAGCUGUUCCCAGCUCCUGAGGAACUGUGUUUUUCAGAGGCUGAGGCUGAGGGAGUGUAACUGCAUACUUUCUUAGACUCACACUGGUUCUCAAUGCACCCCAGACUCAGCAGGAACGUUUUAUCAGUGCAGAUUACUGCACUUCCAGCACUGUGUUUUCUAUGUUGCACUUCCGGGGUGGGGCCUGGGAAUGUGUCCAAUUCCAAAUUCAGUUGUCCAACAAUUUUAAGCUGAAUAUAUUCUCUAUGCUAAGCAAUGUCCUAGGACCUCAGGGUAUAUUAAAAACAAAACAAAAAAUCCCAACCCCCAUGCAGCUUGUCUUCUGGUUGGGGGCAUGACAGGUAAUAUAAACAGAGUAAGGGAAUUUAUGCUAGGUUAAAAGGUGAUAAAUACUAUGGAGAAAAAAACAGCAGGAGGACAGGGAUUAGGAGCAAGGGACAAUUCUCAAUAGGGCCAUCAGAAUUGUCCUGGCUGAGAUGACAUUUAUGUGAUGUCUUUAAGGGGGUGUGGCAAUGUCUCAGCUACCUGGGAAGAGGCUUUGCAAGUAGGAACCAGUGUGCUGGACCCAAGGAGGCCAGAAUGGCUGAUUGGAACAAAUCCGGAAGAAGUGGAGGAGACGUGGCCAGUGGAAAUAUGGAGCCCUUUCCUGUGCGGUAUUGGUACCACUGGCUUUAAAUCUUCUAGGCAGCUUUGCCCAGGUUUUUCAUGAUGCUUCCAGUGUGCCAGGUCCUGGGGAGGGAUGUAUGUGUUUUAGCCCUAGCCUAAGUAGCUAAACCCUACCCUCACCCUGGCACAAUUUAUAUUAUGUUCAGAAGGCUCACCAAGGCUGCUGCAUUGUGUAUAUAUAUGGAGAAUAAACUGCAAUGGGUGGAAAUGAAGAGGCCAGGGCAGUCAUCCCAGGAGACAUACUGGGCAGGAUGGAGGAGAGCUAAGGGUGAUGAAGAAGACGGAGGAUCUGCAGGAGGUUCUCCAGGUGGGUUCUAACUACUGCACUUGGUAUACUGGCUUUGAGCUCAUAUUUCUAGGGGUGGGUGCCACUAGCUUUGUUUGCCACACUGCAUCCAGGCUGCCCUGCGGGGGGUGAGAGGUAAAGGGGUGAACCGGUGUAUCUAAUCCUAGCAGGACCCAGUAGCUUAAGCCCAUUCCUGUGCCCCCCCCCCCCAUGCUUUCAGUGGGGUCUUGUUGGAGAAGCCUGGUCAUUCUGGUGCAUUUCCUCUUGGAGCUGAAACAUGGUUUCUCUGGCCAUUUUGUAAGGAGUUGCCUAGCCACAUGUAUACCUCUUCAGUGCCCAUGUUUGCUGUAUAAAAAAGUAAAUUUGGAAACAUAUUUUAAAAUGGUCAGUUCCUCUGUUACAGUUUGAAUUGAGUCUCUUUAAAAUUUACAAUAUCUCAGAAGAUGAUCUUAUUUGAAAUAAUGUCUUUAUAAUAUAUUGAACUAGUUAAGAUGAGGUCAUAUGGAAGUAGGGUGUGUGCCUCCGGUAUGACUGAUGUCUUUGUAAAAGCAAAAUUUGGAGACAGAUUGUAUUAGUUUUUCAUUGCUCUAUCAAGAUAUCCAAGACAGGCUAAUUUUAUAAGUUUUUUAAUAUUUAUUUUUUAGUUUUAGGUGGACAUAAUAUCUUUAUUUUAUUUUUAUAUGGUGCUGAGGAUCAAACACAGUGCCUCACACAUGCUAGGUGAGCUCUCUACCACUGAGCCACAACCCCAGCCCUAAUUUUAUAAAUUAAAGAGCUUUAUUUAGCUCACAAUUUUGGAAGCUAAAAAUCCAAACAACAUAGUGUUGACUCUGGUGAGGGUUCCAUAGCAGAUAACAGGAGUACAGCAAGAGGAAGGAUCACAUCUCAAAACAGGAAACUAGAGAGAGAUUCAGAUCAGAUUCCAGCUUUCAUAACAACUUGCUCUCAUGAAAGCUCAGGGGUCCCAUGAGAGCAACCUUAAUCCCUUCCAAGAGCAAGGCCCCUAAUGACCUAAGGAGCUCCCACUAGGUCCCUCCCACCUCUGAAAGACCAUCUCCCUCCCACACACCACACUGGGGACCAUAUUUGCAACACAUGAAGCUUUGGGGUGACAACAUCCAACCAUAGCAUAGACACACACAGGGACAACACCACAUGAAGAUCAAGACAGAGAUUGAGGUAGGCCUGCACAAGCCAAGAAGCACCAAAGAUGGCCAGCAAAGCACCCGAAGCAAGGAGAGGGUGAAACAGUCAUCACAAGGAACCCACCCUGCAGGCACCUGAUCUCAGGCCUCCAGGCUCCCCAGACAUGAGAAAUGUGGUGGCUGCACCUGGGCACAGUUUCCAGGAGGCAUCUCCAAAUCCUACCACAGCUACGGCUAGGAAAAGGACUUAUCACCAAGACUCUGUGAUUCCUGGCUUUGUCCUAGUCUCCACAAGGGAAUAUGGUCCGCAGGUAAAUUUGGCUAGUCCCAGAAUAAACAGUCUCUUUUACUAGUUUUCAUUUUGUAGGAUUAUUAUUAAUUUUUUAAACUAACACACAUACAUAUGGUAAACGGAAACAGUAUAAAAGGAGAGUCAAUAUAGGUGAGUCUCUGCUCUUGCCCACUGCCUGGAAGAAGUCAAUCUCAAUCUUCCAGCCAUCCUUCCCUUCCAGCCAUUUCUUGCAUGAAUAAGUUUGUCUGAGUGAGCAAAUGAGACAUGCUUAUGUCUCUCAUUUAUUCUUUCAAUCUGUUGUGUCAUGGGGAAUAGUUCUGCAUUAGGGCAGAGGGGCUACUCAGGACUUUAGAGCCGCCACUCUGAGUGGUCCCAAGGCCAGCUACACAAACAUUUCAGGUAACUUAGUAGAAAUGAACAUCUCAUAGGCCUCUUUACAGAUUAACUGAGUUAGAAACUUGGGUCUGGGGCUCAUGAGCGAGAGAAUGUUCUAACAAACCGCCCACGCUCAGAUUUGGGGUGGAGAUGGUGCUAAGAUUAACUCUAAUUCUCACUCCAUUGUUCUGCAGCAUAAUUUAUUUUGGCUGAUUUAAAAAAGUAACAGGUUUUUAGAGGUUUAAAAUGAAAAUAAUGGAUCUUACAUUAUUCUUUGAAGUGUAACAGUUACACUUGUUGUUAAGUUCCACUUCAAAGGCUGGGUGCAUUUGAACUCUAUUAGAAAGUUAUUUUAGUUACAUAAGCCAAGGAAGGGAGAAAACAAAAAUGAAGAUACAAUCUUAACUCUAAGAAAAAUCACCUCAUUUUUACGAGUUUAUUACAAGACCAGAAGGUCAUGGUUCGUGGUUAAGUGUCUCAAGGUCAUUAAGCAGUUAAAUCUCAUCUGCAAACAAUUUACAGGAAAACAAGUGCAAUCCUCUAAAAUAGUUACAUAAGUGAAAUUUUUAAUAAUAAGCUUUUUUGGUUUCAAUGCUAGGGAUCAGCAGUCCUGAUAGACAGCUAUAAAAACAAACCUCAAUGAUUUCUCUGAUUUAAAGAUGCUGAUUCAUAGUAUGCUGCUAGGGGAUGGGGGAAUCGGGGGAUGGGAGGAUUAAAUGAACUCUAGAUAGGGCAAAGGGGAAAAGGGGAGGGAGUGGAAGGGAAGGGGAAUGGGGUUAAAGAGAUGGUGGAGUGAGAUGGACAUCAUUACCCUAAGUACAUGUAUGAAGACAUGAAUGGUGUGACUCUACUUUGUGUAGAACCAAAGAAAUGAAAAAUUGUGCUCUAUAUGUAUAAUUUGAAUUGUAAUGCAUUUUGUUGUCAUAGAUAACAAAUUAAAAAUUUAAAAAAUUAAACACUCCUAUCUUAAUAAAAACCUCUAUAUGAGGAGAACUUCUUACUCUUUUUAGUAAACUGAUGUUGAAAGAAACUUAAUGCACAAGAUACAAAUAAAUGUAGACUUUUUUUGAUGUUACAGUAAUCAGUUGGUAAAGUUUUUUGUGAGUGUGUCACAGAGAUUGAACGCAGGAGUGAUUUACCACUGAGUUAUAACCCCAGAACUUUUUUAUUACUUUAAUUUUAUUUUUAAAUUUUGAGACAGGAUCUCACAAAGUUGCUGAGGUUGGCCUUGAACUUGUGAUCCUCUUGCCUCAGCCUCCUGAGUCACUGGGAUUACAGGCAUGCACCACCAUGUCCAGCAUUGGUAUAUACUAACUUUUCCUUUUUUUUUUUUAAACAAUGGUUCAUGGGUCAAAUUUUUCAUAAUACGAUUGAAACUUGUGGGCCAUUUUAACUGAGCUUGGAUGGCAUGAUUUGGUGUAUUGUCUUUUACUUUACUGGCAUUUAGACAGCUUCUAGUUUUCUGUCUCACCAAGUCAUUGGUUCUAUGGCAUCUUUCUACCUGUGUCCAAUGAUCAUGGAGGUUAGGUUCCUCAAAGUGGAACUUCUAUGUCAAAGGUUCGGUGGACUUGACAUUUGAUAGAGUAUUAUCCAAUUAUUUUGUAAAGAGGUAGUUGCAAUUUACACAGGAUAUUAAAAUGUGAAUUUACACAUACUUGCUAAUAUCUUUUUUAAAUAUUUAAAGCUUUAAAAUAUUUUUCCAUGUGCAAGGCAAAAGAAGAGUGACUUCUUAUUGUCAUAAAUUCAUUUCUUUGUGGAGUCAUCUGGAUGUCUUUUUUUUAUUUAUGCUUCUUUCUCAAUUUUCUAUUGACUGCAGGUUUUCCAUAUUAAUUUGCAAGCACUCUUUACAUGAACAGCAAAUGAGUUUUUUGACAUCUGUGUUGCAAAUACCUGUAUUUUUUAAGUUGUUUUAUUUUUUCAUUCAAUUAUUUUUCAUGCAGAAAACUUUAAAUUUUUUAAAAUAUUUUUUAUUUAUUUCUUACAUACAUGACAAUAUUGGAAUGCAUUACACUCAUAAUUAGUCAUUCACAGCACAACUUUUCGUAACUCUGUAUAUAAAGUAUGUUCAUGCCAAAUUAUGCCAUUAUACAUGAACUCUCUCUCUCUUUUUUUUUUUUUUGCAUUACAAUUCUUAAUACAUCUUUAUAUCACAAUUUAUCAUAUCUCUGUUUGUAUAUAAGGUAUGUUGACACCAAAUUCACAUGUUCAUACAUGUAUUUUGUAUAAUGAUGACCGUCUCCUUCCACCAUCCUUACUAUUCCCUUUCUUCCUCCCUUUCCCUCCCACCCCUAUUCCCUAUCUAGAGGUAAUCUUCUUCCCAUGCUCUCCCUCCCUACCCCACUUUGAGUCAUUCUCCUCAUUUUAGAGAAAACAUUCAGCGUUUGUUUUUUGGGGGAUUGGCUAACUUCACUUAGCAUAAUCUUCUCUAAUGCCAUCCAUUUCCCUGCAAAUGCCAUGAUCUUAUUCUUUUUAGUGAUGAGUAAUAUUCCAUUGUAUAUAAAUGUCACAUUUUUAUUUUUUAGUUGUUGUUGGACACAUAGCUUUAUUUCAUUCAUUUAUUUUUUGUAUGUGGUGCUGAGGAUGGAACCCAGGGUCUUGCACAUGCAAGGCGAGCUCUCUACCACUGAGCCACAACUCCAGGCCCAGAAAACUUUAAUUUUUAUAUCAUCAAAUUGACCCAUCUUUAUUUUUGUGGCUUCUGGGUUUUAGGUCAUAUUUGUGGGAAAAAAAAAGAAAAAAAACUUUUUCCUUUCCCCAAGUAUAUCAGUCUGUUUUCUGUUUCUAUUAAAACAAUACCAAAGAAUGGAUGAAUUAUAACUAAAAGAGGUUUAUUUUGGCUCUUGGUUCUGGAGGCACAAAGUGGAGGGGCUUCUCUGGUAAUGGCCUUCCUGCUGGCAGAGCAUCACAUGGCAAGGGAUAGAGAAUGUGUGUGUGUGUGUGUGUGUGUGUUUUCUAGUCUGUCUCUCCUCUUAAAAAGGCCCCAGGCUUUAAUCAUGAGAGCUAUACUCUAAUGAUUUAUUUGAUCUUAAUUCCCAAAGGCCCCACCUCUAAACACCAUAGUUGAAUUAAGUUUCCAUCUUCUAAAUUCUUCAUAAUAGGGAUUAGAUUUCAAUAUGUGAAGGCUUGGGUGACACAAACCAUAUUCAAGCCAUAGCACCUAGGUACAGAAAAAUUCAUCCAUGUUUUCUCCUGGAAUUGGGAGGCCAUUGACUUUAGAGUUCAAUUGCCUAUGUUUAAAUCACACUUGCUGUAUGAUCUUGGCUAAGUAACUCAACCUCUCUGGACUCUGAUUCAUCAUUUGUACCUAUCACACAGGGAAAUUGUGAGGUAGUGUCUGAUACAGGGUCAAUGUGCAACUAGUAUUAUUUCUUUUUAUUUUUAGUUGAAUGCUUUUUAUAGCUUUACUUAUUGUUUUAAAUCUUUAUCCACUUAAAUAUUUAUUCAAUUUGCUUCAUGCAAGAAGGCAAGGAUCUAGCAAUUGUUUCUAAAUUAAACAUUAGAAAGGAGGAGCCAACAUUAUUAUUACUUAUAGAUAUCAUCACACUCCAAAGGAAGUAACUGAAAAAAAAAAAAAGAAGAAGAAGAAAUUGACUAUGUGACCUAUUAUAAGAAUUGGCAAAUUUUCUACAUACAAAAUGUAAACAGAAACUAAUGGAAAAAGUGUUUUCCCAUUGCCAUUUUGUUAAUUAAUCUCUUUUCUCGUUUAUUUGAAGUGCCAACUUUAUUAGAUAAUAAAUCCACAUCUGUUUUUGAGCCUGCUUAUUGACUUCAUAUUUUUUCCAUUGGCUUGACACUUUUUUAUGAACCACUGAACUGUUCAAUCAUCUUAGCUUUUUAAAAAAUAUAUAUUUUUUAUUUUUUUAGUUAUAUAUGGACACAAUAUAUUUAUUUUGUUUAUUUUUUUUAAUGUGGUUCUGAGAAUUGAACCCAGUGCCUCACCUGUGCAAGUCAAGUGUCUACCACUGAGCCACAACCCCAGCCCCAAUCAUCUUAGCUUUUAAAUUCAUUUUUAAUAUGAGGCAAAGCUAGUUUUUAGCAGUGUUCUUUUAUUUCAUAAUUUCUUAUCUGUUAUUACAUGAGUAUUUUCCCAUAUGAAUAUAAGGUUUUAGUGAAAUUAUAAAUUACUUGGGGAAGAAUUGAAACCUUUACAUUAUUUUUUUCUAAUCCGAGAAUUAGACAUUUCCCUGAUUCCAAUCUCUUUUUUAAAUCUCUCAGAAGAAGCUUUAAUUUUUUUUUCUUUAUUAAACAUCGACACAUUUCAUAUUAGUUUUUCGUGGCUGCUAUCUCCUAGUUCUUUUAGUUGUUGUUUUGUUUUAUUGUUUCCAUGAGUUUUCUGCCAAUUUUUUGUAUGUAGAAAAUUGAUCAAUUAUUGCAAUUCAGGUGCUUAAUUUUAAUUCAUUCUUUUAAAUUUUGGCAAUUUUUCAGUUGGUUCCUUUGGAAUAAAAUGAUAUCUAAAAAAUAAUAAUAAUAUUGCUAAUUCUACAAUUCUAAUUCUGCAUGUUGUUUCAACUGUAAAAUUUGGGGUUGGGUUGUUUUAAUUAAGUGAAUUAUUUCUCUGCAAAUGCUACAUGGAUAAAAUUAUGUGCAUGUUCAAUGAAACUUACAUUUUUUCUAGUUUCUUCAUUUUUUAAGUAUAAAUAUUACAUUUACAGGUAUUAUGUGUGAAUUAUUCUUUGUUAAUAAGACUUAACUUUUAAAAACCUUUUGUGUUCUUUCCUUACAAAAUUUGAAGUUUUUUAAAAUAUUUAUUUUUUAGUUGUAGUUGAAUGCAAUAUCCUUAAUUAAUUAAUUUAUUUUUAUGUGGUGCUGAGGAUCGAACCCAGGGCCUCCGUGUUAGGCGAGCACUCUACUGCUGAGUCACAGCCCCAGCCCCCAAAAUUUGAAUUAUAAGAGCAGAGAAAAGUGAAUUAGUUUUAUUGGGCUAUAUUUUUGAGCUUGUGUGUUUACAUAGACUGCAUUUAUUUAUGUCUUUCACAUACAUGGGAUAAUGUCAGGAAAUUGUUUUCACUAUUUUUAUCGAUAGGUUAACAAAAGCUAAAUGUAAUUAAAUGACUUGUCUAAAAUAAACAAUAAUGACAAUAAAAAAUAAUAAUGUUGCUUCCUCCUUUCCAGCGUGUAAGCCUUAUCUUUUCAUUUUGUCCAUUUGUUAUUUUCCAAAACCCUCCAGGACAAUGACAGCAUGUGGGGGUGCUGCAGGUGUUCCAGAUAGGCUUCUUGACUAUGCCUCUGGGGCUUGCCAUUUACCCUGGUGCUGGAUUUGCUAGAGCAAUUAUUUUAAAUUGUGAGCAUUCACUAGUGGAGUCCUUGGCAUCUGUCAUUCUUUGCUCUUGCCAAUAGCCCCAAAAAUCUUGCUUUGGAAAUGACCAUCCAUGUCUUCCUCUCAGCCCUGCACUUUUGUUAAGAGGGGCCCUGCCUGCACCUGUAUAGCAUGUCUUCCCUAGAUUUCUGAGUGUUCCUGUAAAGAGCUCUGCCCACCCCACCCCCCACCCAGAGGCACAGGAAUGUAUACAAACUUACAGAGAGCCUUUGUCUUCAUAUCUAGCAAUGUUUUACUUUUCGUGUACUUGUAAAGACUCAGGUUGUAGUCAUUUGUCUAGUUGGUUGCUCUGAGCCCAAGAGAUAAUAAAUCUUUUUCCCCAAGACUAGCACACGGUCACCUUCCAGACUAUUCCCCUAGUUUAAUUCCACGGUUGCCCCAAAGAUGGGAACACUCUCUCCACAGGCAUUUACCCUUCAAGGAAGAUGGGGCAGGGACCUUGGAGGCACCUCUAGUUUGUAAGGACCCACGAAAUGUGACCUGGUUCCUGCAGGAGUUUUAUCUACUUACCAAAAGGUUAGAGUCCUUUCCAUUCCAUCUCUAAUAACAAAGGCCUUUUCUCCCUCAUUUCAGAAAGGGAAAGGACAGCUACCUCUGUCCUGCAUAUAAGGAAGAGAAGAUCCAUUAUUCACUGUACUUGGCCCACAGAGUCUCGGCCACAUCGAAGGAUUUUCCAUUAGGCUUUCCUGGUGUGGCUCUAGGAUUAAAUAUCUGGGCAGAAGAGGGAGACAUAGUUGUUAUUUUGUGGAUGAUAAUAACUAAUCUGUCUCUGAUCCAAAAUACCCCCUAUGCUCAUUCAGGAUUAAAUUAAUCAAAAUAUAUAUUAAAAACCUCAUAGUACUUAAUUAGCAAAAACAUUACUAAUGACUCAUCUAAAAUGUGCACAGCCUUCUCAGGAGAUUCACUAUGAAGAUGCAGUAGAAAUUACCACCCUUAUCUUUCCAGACGUGCUAGUGGUAUUAAUCUUGGUAAUUCCCCAGAGAUGAAGUAUUGCUUCUGAUGUUCCACCUCGGCAGAGGGGUCAGUUACAGGAGAGUACUUUUGGCCCUUCAGCCAAAACAGCCCCUACUCCACAGAUCAGGGAAUCAAUGUGAACAUUCUAUUGAUUGCCAAAUAGAUCUAUUCCACCUGCUCAUCUUGAGAUGGAGGAAAUGACCACAGUUGGUGUCCCUGUUGGACCCAGUUUGAGAGAGAUCGGGGCAAGGACACUGUCCAUCACAGGCUUCUUGGGGCUUCCCUUCUGCCAGGCAGGCUGUGGUAGCAUUUCCCAUCCUUAGGAAUUUAGGUCAGUUAAGAGCAGGUAUAUAAUACUCCCAGGGUGGGGGUUGCAUCUUUCCCAUUCUCACAUCAUAGUUACACAGGUAAAUAGCCACAGUUUGCUCUGGAAAAGCUUGGAGAAAAUUCUUGAUACACUAUGGCUGCUUUGCAAAGUCUUUGUUUUAGGGCUCCUGGUCUGUGAUAGUGGUCAUGAAUCUCCCUAGGAUGAUUUGAUUUAGGUUUCUGCCCCAGAAUUUAUAUAUAUAUAUAUUUCUGCCUAGCUAUGUCAAGCAGCAUCUUAUCCUGAUCCAUUAGUUAUAACCACAAAUUGCUGCAGUUCCAUCAGUCCUUGUGUUUAUUGUCAAAAUUAUGGCCAUCUUGUCUAUAUUAGACAAGUAUACCACAGGUCCCACCACACCAGAACUGUGUUACUUUUCUUGAGACCAGGGAUGCUAAUUUCAUCACAGAGUUUUUCAAAGUGCUCUGUGCAGUUGAUCCAUUCCUGAUAUGUGUUUCAAAGCUUCUAUACAUGGUGGUUACACUGGGAUCACUGGGGGGGCGUGGCUGGGUGUGGGAAUCCAGUAGCUUUCAAUGAACAGAUGCAUUCCACUGUUCCUUUACUAUUUCCUCAAGCCUUUGCAGGAGCAGCAGGGUUUGGGGUGGGUGCUGGUGACUCACCCUGAAUAUAGGCUGCUGUGACAGGUGGAAUAGCUACUCAUGGAAUGAAGGUUGCUAACAGCUGACCCUAAGAUAAGGGGAUUGCACUGGGUCAGCUCGGAGGUGCUAAGAAAUCACAAGGCUCUUUACACAGAAAAAAAGAGAGAUAGAAGAGUCACAGCCCAGAAUGGGAGAGUUAUCAUCAAAAAGACUACAGGUGGAGCUGGGAAUGUGGCUCAAGCAGUAACGCGCUCGCCUGGCAUGCGUGGGGCACUGGGUUUGAUUCUCAGCAACACAUAAAAAUAAAAUAAAGAUGUUGUGUCCACCGAGAACUGAAAAAUAAAUAUUAAAAAAUUCUCUCUCUCUCUCUCUCUCUAAAAAAAAAAAAAAAAAGACUACAGGUGGAAGAAGGUCCUCAAGUCAAGAAAUGUGCACAGGGACAGCUUCCAGACACUGGAAGAGGCAAGAAAACAGAUAUAUUUCUAAGAUCUCCAGAGAGGAAUGCAGUCCUGCUCUCCCUUGAUUUGAUCUUAGCAAGAUUCACUUUUGGACUUCUGACCAGAACUAUGAACUAAUAAGCUCAUAUUGCUUUAAGCCUCUUAGUUUGUGGUAAUUUGUCAGAGCAAUAGGGAACUAAUACAUCUAUUGUUGACUCAGGUUUCAAAUUUAUGUCACUUGCAGGUUUGGGAGCAUAUAUAUCAGAGGAGUUUACCCUUGAAAAUGAAGUUAGCUGCACAGGACCUUUUAGUCCGUGGGAUGCUGACAAGUGUUUAAUGAUCAGCUCUCCAGGAAAAAAAAGCUCUGAUUUAUACCGAUUGCUUGCUGACUUCCAAUUUGCACAUACUCUCACCUUGGCUCUCUUCAAGCCAAAAACAUAUAUCUGAACUUGGUGUUGAGAAGCAACACAUAGUAGCCCAUCCUCAUGGAGUAUCUCCUGGGUACAGAGGUAGUUGACCUCCAAAGCAGAUAAUAGUAAAACACAGAGAAGACAACUAACAGUGAGUUUGGAGUAUUUAUUACCUGUAUUUUUUAAAAUAUUUUUUUAGGAAGAUG